CAACGCGGCUGUGAGCUUUAAAUACAACCCGGAAGUUGUUUUUUUUUACAGAGUGAAUGGCGGCUGAGAGGAGUGUGUAUGUUGGUUGGUGUGUGGUGAUUGUGAUUGUGAUUGUGUGAAUGUUUGCGUGUGUGUGUAUCUCUGUAAAAACCUACACAGUGAUCUUAUUUGAUCCGGUCUGAGUCGGCCUCUGCUUGGACUGGAGAUGAUAGGAAAAACGCUCUGCAGCCUCCGUGGCGCUGAGCAGCAGCACGUAUUUAAGCUUAGGGGCCUCCACGCUGCACGGUGUGGUUCGGAUGUGAUGAGUUGAUCAGAUAUACUAGUCCAGGGUGAGUUUGGGGUUCAUCCCCCAAACUUUUCGACGGACACUGAGUAAAGAGGCGAUUCUGAUCUAA
Scomber scombrus (Atlantic mackerel) is the source of this 395-nucleotide non-coding RNA. RefSeq annotates it as small Cajal body-specific RNA 2. The transcript has a single exon. The record is from RefSeq and is a predicted model, not a curated record. Lineage: Eukaryota; Metazoa; Chordata; Actinopteri; Scombriformes; Scombridae.